AAGGGCCGUAGUCUAGCCUGGUAGGAUGCGCGGUUCGGGUCCGCGUGACCCCGGGUUCAGGGGCGACCCGCCUACAAAUCCCGGCGGCCCCACC
This 94-nucleotide transfer RNA is filed under the name Pyrobaculum ferrireducens. RNAcentral's name for it is "tRNA-Pro". Lineage: Archaea; Thermoproteati; Thermoproteota; Thermoprotei; Thermoproteales; Thermoproteaceae. The record is from RNAcentral.